UACGGGGGGGGCAAGCGUUGUUCGGAAUUACUGGGCGUAAAGGGCUCGUAGGCGGCCAACUAAGUCGGAUGUGAAAUCCCUCGGCUUAACCGGGGAACUGCGUCUGAUACUGGAUGGCUUGAGUUUGGGAGAGGGAUGCGGAAUUCCAGGUGUAGCGGUGAAAUGCGUAGAUAUCUGGAGGAACACCGGUGGCGAAGGCGGCAUCCUGGACCAACACUGACACUGAGGAGCGAAAGCCAGGGGAGCAAACGGG
RNAcentral lists this ribosomal RNA (253 nucleotides) under uncultured bacterium. RNAcentral describes it as "partial 16S ribosomal RNA". It matches the Rfam family "Bacterial small subunit ribosomal RNA", at positions 524 to 776 of the family's 1533-position model. The record is from RNAcentral.